Molecule: ribosomal RNA, 386 nt
Filed under: uncultured bacterium
Lineage: Bacteria
Description: bacterial SSU rRNA
Rfam family: Bacterial small subunit ribosomal RNA
Source: RNAcentral
GAUGAAACGCUAGCGACAGGCUUAACACAUGCAAGUCGAGGGGCAGCAUGAUUUGUAGCAAUACAGAUUGAUGGCGACCGGCGCACGGGUGAGUAACGCGUAUGCAACUUACCUAUCAGAGGGGAUAACCCGGCGAAAGUCGGACUAAUACCGCAUGAAGCAGGGGCCCCGCAUGGGGAUAUUUGCUAAAGAUUCAUCGCUGAUAGAUAGGCAUGCGUUCCAUUAGGCAGUUGGCGGGGUAACGGCCCACCAAACCGACGAUGGAUAGGGGUUCUGAGAGGAAGGUCCCCCACAUUGGUACUGAGACACGGACCAAACUCCUACGGGAGGCAGCAGUGAGGAAUAUUGGUCAAUGGGCGUAAAGCCUGAACCAGCCAAGUCGCGUG